Molecule: ribosomal RNA, 799 nt
Filed under: Amauroderma intermedium
Lineage: Eukaryota; Fungi; Basidiomycota; Agaricomycetes; Polyporales; Polyporaceae
Description: LSU rRNA
Rfam family: Eukaryotic large subunit ribosomal RNA
Source: RNAcentral
UAACUGCGAGUGAAGCGGGAAGAGCUCAAAUUUAVAAUCUGGCGGUCUUUGNCCGKCCGANUUGUAGUCUGGAGAAGUGCUUUCCSCGCUGGASCGKGUAUMAGUCUCUGGAACAGAGCGUCMUMSAGGGUGAGAAUCCCGUCUUUGACACGGACUACCAGUGCUUUGUGAUGCGCUCUCAAAGAGUCGAGUUGUUUGGGAAUGCAGCUCAWAAUGGGUGGUGAAUUCCAUCUAAAGCUAAAUAUUGGCGAGAGACCGAUAGCGAACAAGUACCGUGAGGGAAAGAUGAAAAGCACUUUGGAAAGAGAGUUAAACAGUACGUGAAAUUGSUGAAAGGGAAACGCUUGAAGUCAGUCGCGUCGUCUGGAACUCAGCCUUGCUUUCGCUUGGUGCACUUUCCGGACGACGGGCCAGCAUCGAUUUUGACCGUCGGAAAAGGGCUGGAGUAAUGUGGCACCUCCGGGUGUGUUAUAGACUCUAGUCGCACACGGCGGUCGGGAUCGAGGAACGCAGCGCGCCGCAAGGCAGGGGUUCGCCCACUUUCGCGCUUAGGAUGCUGGCAUAAUGGCUUUAAACGACCCGUCUUGAAACACGGACCAAGGAGUCUAACAUACCUGCGAGUGUUUGGGUGGCAAACCCGAGCGCGUAAUGAAAGUGAAAGUUGAGACCUCUGUCGUGGAGGGCAUCGACGCCCGGACCUGACGUUCUCYGACGGAUCCGCGGUAGAGCAUGUAUGUUGGGACCCGAAAGAUGGUGAACUAUGCCUGAAUAGGGUGAAGCCAGAGGAAACUCUGGUGGA